Long non-coding RNA from Rhinopithecus roxellana (golden snub-nosed monkey), 811 nucleotides. RefSeq lists it as uncharacterized. The transcript is spliced from 5 exons. The record is from RefSeq and is a predicted model, not a curated record. Lineage: Eukaryota; Metazoa; Chordata; Mammalia; Primates; Cercopithecidae.
CAACCCACUCUCUGCACUACGACUUCAUUGCUCUUUCCCAGUCCCGCCCUGGGCAAGCCCCUUAUGAAGUCUCAGGCCAUCUGGAUGACCACCCUUUCUUAUGGUGCUGCAAGGAGGGCAGGUGGGCAGAGCCCCGCACAUCCUGGGCUCAGGCCUAGGGACCUAAGAGCUUGGGAGAAGCUGGUUCUCAGACUGAAGGCCAGAGCCCAGCACCUUGUCACCAUCCUGAGGAGCAUCAUGGCACACAACAACCAGAGCCAAGUAGAGACAGGGUUUCACCAUGUUGGCUAGUCUGGUCUCGAACUGCUGACCUGAAGUGAUCCGCCCACCUUAGCCUCCCAAAGUGCUGGGAUUAUAGGCAUGAGCUACCGCUCCCGGCUUCCUCCUAUAUCUCUUGAUCAAACUUCAGGGGAAAACCUGCCAGAUUCCCCAGGAAGGCUGCUUGGAGGUGUGCUGAGAAAAGUCUACAUUCCCAUGUCAAGCUACAACUAGAGUUGACUCCUCUAUUUGAGAUUGACAGGCCUCAGAAGUCAAAAUAAGUGGUUUCCUAGACCUGGUCGAGAGCAAGUCUCUAUUGGUCCCAAGUGAGUUUUUUCAGCUGUUUUUUCAACCAAACAGCACCCCAUCUUCCAGUGAGGGGAAGGGAAGACUGGGCUGACAGCAGCAAGGCUGCUCAUCUCACCUCUCCCCAUCCAGCCAUGCCAGCCGCCACACCUGGUGGGGAGAGGUGGGCCUCACCUGGGUCCCCUGGCAGUGCUCUGUGAAGGGUUUUGACAUUGUACUAUUAUAAUAAAGGUGUGUGUGAAGUAUC